CACCGGCAGCUCUAGUGGUAGCAAUUUUUAUUGGGCCCUAAAGCGUCCGUAGCCGGUUUAAUAAGUCUCUGGUGAAAUCCUGUAGCUUAACUGUGGGAAUUGCUGGAGAUACUAUUAGACUUGAGACCGGGAGAGGUUAGAGGUACUCCCAGGGUAGAGGUGAAAUUCUGUAAUCCUGGGAGGACCGCCUGUUGCGAAGGCGUCUAACUGGAACGGUUCUGACGGUGAGGGACGAAAGUUAGGGGCGCGAACCGGAUUAGAUACCCCCGUAGUCC
This 275-nucleotide ribosomal RNA is filed under the name uncultured prokaryote. RNAcentral describes it as "partial 16S ribosomal RNA". It matches the Rfam family "Archaeal small subunit ribosomal RNA", at positions 474 to 747 of the family's 1478-position model. The record is from RNAcentral.